Molecule: ribosomal RNA, 400 nt
Filed under: uncultured bacterium
Lineage: Bacteria
Description: bacterial SSU rRNA
Rfam family: Bacterial small subunit ribosomal RNA
Source: RNAcentral
GGGGAAUAUUGCACAAUGGGGGAAACCCUGAUGCAGCAACGCCGCGUGGAGGAAGAAGGUUUUCGGAUUGUAAACUCCUGUCUUUUGGGACGAUAAUGACGGUACCAAAGGAGGAAGCCACGGCUAACUACGUGCCAGCAGCCGCGGUAAUACGUAGGUGGCGAGCGUUGUCCGGAAUUACUGGGCGUAAAGGGCGCGUAGGCGGCCUGAUAAGUCAGAUGUGAAACCCCCAGGCUCAACUUGGGGCAUGCAUUUGAAACUGUCGGGCUCGAGUGUCGGAGAGGGAAGCGGAAUUCCUAGUGUAGCGGUGAAAUGCGUAGAUAUUAGGAGGAACACCAGUGGCGAAGGCGGCUUUCUGGACGAUAACUGACGCUGAGGCGCGAAAGCGUGGGGAGCAAAC